Limanda limanda (common dab) is the source of this 2755-nucleotide long non-coding RNA. RefSeq lists it as uncharacterized. Lineage: Eukaryota; Metazoa; Chordata; Actinopteri; Pleuronectiformes; Pleuronectidae. The record is from RefSeq and is a predicted model, not a curated record. The transcript is spliced from 6 exons.
GAAAAUGUGUGCGAACUUUAUCCUCAAAUAUCUGCUGAUCAAACAACAACAAAAGCACCAAUCACAGAGGCGACAACAGCGACAUCACCAACUACAGUAUUGUCACCUACCACAACACCGGCACCACCACCAACACCACCACUAACACCAGCACCGCCACCAACACCAGGAACAACCACAGUCAAACAUGAUGGAGGAAACGCUAACAGCAGUACAGGCACAAGGGAUGCCUCAAACGUGCUGUACAUCAUGCUAUUCAUGUUAAUCAUUUCCGGAACCCUGAACCUCGUGCAGGCUGUUUUAUUCUGCAAGCGCUGGAGGACACAGCACAGAACACAGAACCCAACUCAUCAGCGUCUAAGCCUCUGGUCUCUCCAGGAUGAAUCCUCCGUGUUGAAUGAAACCUGCGAUGAUCCAGAUCCCCUUCCACUGAUGCCGAUAAUAACCAAGCCAGACUGUCCCCACGUCGACUCCCCCUCAGCUGAUACAACCAGGAACAGAUGCACUGCUGGAAACGGAUUAGAGUCACAUUAAGCACCAUACUCACAACUUUGUAUAUUGUCAUUAUAAAAGAGCAGCGGGAGGUAACACAGGACAGAUCAGCUCCACGCAGGACUGAGUGACUGUGGUAUGCAACUGCCUUUCAUGGAGUAGAAACUCUGACUGGAGCCCUUGCCCCCGGACAUGAGGGGGAGUGAGCGGGCCGCGGCAUGUCGCUUCUCAGCCGCUCAGCAAGUCGAGCUCCUGCAGUCACAGCCAAACGAGGGGACGAGAGGAUUGCUUCAGACCAGAACAGGUUUUGACUGUGAGCUGUGGUUUGUGAGAAGCACAAAAGACGACUCUAACCUGUAUUAUAAUUACCCUCAAAACAUUUCAGACGACUAAAGUCUCACCGGAUAGUUUGUCGUUUGGUCGAGCUUCAUUGGAAUCAGAGCUGCAGUCACACUGGCAACGUUUAAGAUGAAUUAAAAAUAAUAUGAUGUGAUAUCAAGGCAACUACAGCUGGCCCUGCUUACCACUGUGAGGUGGGAAAUAACCUGAUAUUAAUCUGUAAAUCACAGUGUUAUGAUUAUAAAUGUGCACCGUCCGUCAGCACUGGACUCAGCGUUCUCACUUUCAGGACGGUUGUUCAUUAGCUUCUAUCCUGCACCGUCCAGAUUUAUAAUAAAACAUUUGCAGGUGGAGUGAACUGCACCGCUGGUUGCAGGUUUUUCCACUGCAUGCACUGGUUUUUAACAAGCUAUGCUAAGCUAGGUCUAGUGUUAAAUGUAGGCAACCACUUCCGCAGUAUUGUACUUUCAGAGUUGUGGCUGGUCCUCACCUUUUGACCCACUUUGGAUGUUUGAGUUAGACUUGCUUUUAGGGUUUGGAUGGAUGGAUUGAUCCAGAGGUCAGUUCAAGGCGGCACCUGGGCCACAUCCCAUGAGUGGUGCCAUGCUUUUCAGAGCAGGUGUCAGGGUCUUAUCUUUACAUGGUCUUCAGCAAAACAGACAGUUAAAAGGAUCAUUCAUCACAGUUUCAAUGUUUGUCGAAUAUGUCACAGAUAUAAAUAUUUACCUGACUUACUCUGCCAGUAUUCUGUCAACUGAAUCUAUUCAUUUGUUUUAAAGCGGUCCGUGUGGCCAGGCAUUUGGGGAAAGUAGGGAAUGCUUUGUGCCACUGAGUGUCCUUGAUGUGUUGUGUGUGUCCAAGUAUGACAUUAUGUGGACUUGUCUUUGUGGUGUAUUUUAGCUGAUAACUCUUUUGAACAUGGUCAUAAACCACGAUGACAUGUUACCAUCUUCAGUGUUGAUUCUUAAACUCUUACACUCGUUAAACACUAUCCCAGAUGGUAUGGAAUGUAUGCGUUAACUCUCUCCCCCAGAGAAUACUUUUGACCUGUACAAUGAAGACGCCUUACACUACAAGAUACUAAACAUGCCCUUAUUUAGGCUGAAGACCCUGUUGUGUGAUGUAAUGUUAUCUCUAGGUUUGGGGUCCCACCUCCAACCUAUAAAACUUCUUGCCCUGCAGGGAGACUUCACACUUUCACCAUUUGGCUGUGUGAUUUCUCCGAGUAUCUAGAGCUCGUCCUGACCUGUACUACUUUGUUUAAUAAACAUAAUUUUACUUGUAAGUACUGGGUCCGCGGUCCUUCCCUUCAUCAUCAACUUCUACAACAACACGGUGACCUCUCGGCCGACCAGAAUAUACGUCAUCUUCCUAAUGAGGACCAAAUAAUGACAGUUUAAGUUUUAGUCUCCAGGAACAAAUGUAUGUCACUGUAAAGCCACUGAAGUGAUGGAGACAUACAUCGUACUUAUCUGUGUUUUCUGCCUUCAAGCUGCAGCAAUGAUCUCACAUAUGAAUCUCAAUCAAGUGUUUCCCGCACUCCUCAGAUUGCAGCAGGUUAAUCUGCUGGGAUCAGAGAGAGUUGAUGGUUCCGCAGCAAGUCUCUGAAUGUGUCUCGGCAUGUUGUGUAUUGUAACCAGGACACUGAAGCUAUUCCUGGUCUGUUUGAAUAAUUUAACUGAACUGUGAUGUUUGUCUGUUUUGUAAAACUGUGAAGAAAUGCAUGUAUUGUAUACGUGUGUGUGUUUGUAGAUGUAUUUUUUUUAGGAAAGUCAGACUUCGCAGGUGAAAAAGUCGAUGCAGCUUAAUGUUCCAGUUCCGUUUCACGACCUAACCUUACACAUGGUAGCUUUCAAAUGUGCUUAUAUGAUAUGACUUAACAAAUAAAUGUUCCCUUCUUUGACAUUAAAACUACCUACAGGGC